UGUCGUGCGCAGAUAUACGAAUGCCCCUCCAACUGCGGAUCGGUUAUCAAUUCUCUUACCUGCUUAUUCCGGCUUAGUCAGUUGAGCGCUGCCUCGUGGUGCGCACGUGUUUUAUUCAUUAAUCAAACAUGGUGACGAUUUUACGCGUUUCUUAAUAUGUUAAUUUUGUAGUAAUGCUAGAAUCGGUUGACCAUCAGAGAAAUUUAGUAGUAACAGCUCAGUGUAGCUCACAACGAGUGAUUUGAGUAAUCCUUUGCGGUGCGUGCGUGGCGUCCGUCGGAUAUGUUCCGCCGGUGGAUAUGUGUUUAUUGUGAGUACAAGUUUUCCAUUCGUGGUAUCCGCAUGGAAUAGUAAAGAAGUGCGUAUCAUCAAUUCAACUUACAAUUUGCGGAAACGUGUUUGUGCGAUUUAGUUCUUUAUGGAUAGAAGAACAAAGCAGCACCAUAUUAUUGCUUUAUAAUAAUUGUAAAUGAUUCAGUCAAUAAAGGAUAAUUUAAUUUCA
Dalotia coriaria is the source of this 502-nucleotide long non-coding RNA. RefSeq lists it as uncharacterized. Lineage: Eukaryota; Metazoa; Arthropoda; Insecta; Coleoptera; Staphylinidae. The record is from RefSeq and is a predicted model, not a curated record. The transcript has 2 exons.